This 482-nucleotide ribosomal RNA is filed under the name Priceiella sternotransversa. RNAcentral's name for it is "partial large subunit ribosomal RNA". It matches the Rfam family "Bacterial large subunit ribosomal RNA", at positions 1820 to 2597 of the family's 2925-position model. The record is from RNAcentral. Lineage: Eukaryota; Metazoa; Arthropoda; Insecta; Psocodea; Philopteridae.
CUCCUCUCGAUAGAAUGGGAGGUAAGAUCUGCUCCAUGCGUUAUUGUAAAUUGCCGCAGUAUUCUGACUGUGCUAAGGUAGCAAAAUAAUUUGGCUCUUUAUUGGAGUCUGGAAUGAAUGAUUUGACAAAGUCUGUUCUGUCUCACCUUUAAAUCUUGAAAUUGGAUUAUUUGUUAAAAUACAAAUAUGAGAGAGAGGGACGAAAAGACCCUAUAGAUCUUUACUUUCUUCAUUGAACUUUUCUUAUUCUUUCAUUGGAUUAAGUUUGCUUGGGAUAAGACUAAAAGGUGAAUUUUGGUCACAGAGAAAGACUGAUUAGUCAAAGGGAUGAAUAAAAAAAAGACAAGUUACCUUAGGGAUAACAGGAUAAUUUUUUUACUAAGAACUUAUUAAUAAAAAAGUUUAUUACCUCGAUGUUGAAUUAAGUUUUCUUCUACUCGAAGAAGGGUGUGGGAGUUAGUCUGUUCGACUAUUUAAAACUU